UACGUAGGGUGCAAGCGUUAAUCGGAAUUACUGGGCGUAAAGCGUGCGCGUGGCGGUUUGUAGUCGUCGAUCGGAAUCCCCGGCUCAACCUGGGAAUUGCGAUGGAGACUGCAAGGCUAGAAUCUGGCAGAGGGGGGGUAGAAUUCCACGUGUAGCAGUGAAAUGCGUAGAGAUGUGGAGGAAUACCGAUGGCGAAGGCAGCCUCCUGGGCCAACACUGACCGCUCAUGCACGAAAGCCGUG
RNAcentral lists this ribosomal RNA (242 nucleotides) under uncultured bacterium. Its description in RNAcentral is "partial 16S ribosomal RNA". It matches the Rfam family "Bacterial small subunit ribosomal RNA", at positions 524 to 764 of the family's 1533-position model. The record is from RNAcentral.